GUAGCUGGUCUGAGAGGAUGRCCAGCCACACUGGAACUGAGACACGGUCCAGACUCCUACGGGAGGCAGCAGUGGGGAAUAUUGGACAAUGGGGGCAACCCUGAUCCAGCAAUGCCGCGUGUGUGAAGAAGGCCUGAGGGUUGUAAAGCACUUUCAGUGGGGAGGAGGRUUGUUAGGUUAAGAGCUAGUUAAUUGGACGUUACCCACAGAAGAAGCACCGGCUAACUCCGUGCCAGCAGCCGCGGUAAUACGGAGGGUGCGAGCGUUAAUCGGAAUUACUGGGCGUAAAGGGUGCGUAGGUGGUUGGAUAAGUUAUCUGUGAAAUCCCUGGGCUYAACCUGGGMAGGUCAGAUAAGACUGUAUGACUCGAGUAUGG
RNAcentral lists this ribosomal RNA (376 nucleotides) under uncultured Legionella sp. Its description in RNAcentral is "bacterial SSU rRNA". It matches the Rfam family "Bacterial small subunit ribosomal RNA", at positions 283 to 651 of the family's 1533-position model. The record is from RNAcentral. Lineage: Bacteria; Pseudomonadati; Pseudomonadota; Gammaproteobacteria; Legionellales; Legionellaceae.